UAGGGAAUCUUCGGCAAUGGGGGGAACCCUGACCGAGCAACGCCGCGUGAGUGAAGAAGGUUUUCGGAUCGUAAAGCUCUGUUGUUAAGGAAGAACGAGUGUGAGAAUGGAAAGUUCAUACUGUGACGGUACUUAACCAGAAAGGGACGGCUAACUACGUGCCAGCAGCCGCGGUAAUACGUAGGUCCCGAGCGUUGUCCGGAUUUAUUGGGCGUAAAGCGAGCGCAGGCGGUUAGAUAAGUCUGAAGUUAAAGGCAGUGGCUCAACCAUUGUAGGCUUUGGAAACUGUUGAACUUGAGUGCAGAAGGGGAGAGUGGAAUUCCAUGUGUAGCGGUGAAAUGCGUAGAUAUAGGGAGGAACACCGGUGGCGAGAGCGGCUCUCUGGUCUGUAACUGACGCGGAGGCUCGAAAGCGUGGGGAGCGAACAGG
RNAcentral lists this ribosomal RNA (429 nucleotides) under Bacteroidota bacterium. RNAcentral describes it as "Bacteroidetes bacterium partial 16S ribosomal RNA". It matches the Rfam family "Bacterial small subunit ribosomal RNA", at positions 355 to 776 of the family's 1533-position model. The record is from RNAcentral. Lineage: Bacteria; Pseudomonadati; Bacteroidota.